ACAGUGGAGCAGAGGAUCCUCCAGUGCGAUUGCAGGUAUGAGCGGGGUGGCAGCAGCUACCAGAGAUUAGUGAAAGAGAGAGAAGCGGCUCCGCUGACCUGGUGUGGAGAUAAGCCAGUGAGAUAACAAGCAGCAUCAGCGGAGAGCAUACCUCCCAACUGUCCGAUUUUUGCGGGACAGUCCAGUUUUUUUAAACUGUCCCUCUGUACCACCCGUGGGCCGCUGGGCGGGGGUGGGGCAGUUGGGAGGCCCCUGCACGCGCUGCUCUGCCUAGCAGAGCAGCGGUGAAUAGACGCUGUGCGCAUGCGCACAGCGUCUGUUCAGUGGAGCUGGCGGAGAGGGGGCAUGCCAGCAGAUCACAAAGCACUGGGCAUGCCCCCUCAGUGAAGAAAACAGGAGCGUGGCUCGCGGUCGUGGGGCACUCCCGCAAAGCCAUGCCCCUUUUCAUAGGCCACGCCCCUUUCCCUGCUUGGUCAGAGACAAAGUUGGGAGGUAUGGCGGAGAGGUCCGGAGUCGCAGCGGUAGUUAGGUGCUGCCAGAAAAUCGCAGGUAGUUUAUGGACAUCCGCAUCCUGCACUGGGAACAGAAAGAAGGAAAGAGUCGGGGGAGUGCCAGAUGACUACACAGCAACCACGGCUAGUGUAUCACAGUAGAAUGCAGUGGAGUUGUAUAUGGUGGUGUCUCCCAUAAGUUCCAGAUAAAUUGGUUGUGAUUUUCCAGUUUCAGAAACACCUCGGACAGAAAAAGAUCUUUGUAUCUGGCUGCCCCGGUGUCCACCAAAACCCUGAUGAUUGGACCUCCAUUAAGAGUUAGAGACAGACAAGACAGUGUUCCAGCCCUCAAGUGCCACAUGGGUCACUUAAGUAUGCGCAUAGGAUCGCUACCGCACCGGAUCACCUGACCAGACUCAUUGGAUGUUUUAACUACGCCACUUCAAUCUCCUGUUUAUUUGAGGUAUACAGACCAAGUACACGGGUCCCAGGAGCCACUACCACCAGUGAAGGCAGCUGCAGCAACGUCCAGUUUAACAACCCGUCAGUUGAUUAUGUAUACACACUCUAAAUACUCAGGAAAAAUUCACGCUCACAUUCAUUGAUUCAUACGCCUUUGUAACAUAUAUAAGCACAUAUAAGCAAGAGAAUAGAAGAAAAAAGAGAAAAUCAACCUCCUUACUGAGUGAACUUUGUGCGCACGAUCCCGAUACCUGUCUUGCAGCAGAACAGAUUGGACAGUUAACGGAAUGAGAGUCUACAGAGAAAUAUCUCUACGUACCGUGCAUGGGUUUUGAGUCUCAGUCCAAGAACCGUCAGCCCAGUCGUCCGCUGUACGACAGGUGAUGUGGAUCUCGGUUUGGGAACCUCCAGAUUGUUAAAGGUAACAAGGAUAGGGCACACCUCGCUUAACCAAGUUCAAGCACGCAUUCAGUCAGUCAGCAUCAGGUUCAUACACGGCUGCAGCCAGUGACCAGUCAACAAAGCAACCUUUGUAAUAACUAGCCACGUGUGUUUAGUGAGGAAUAACAGAGUAGAUCUGCUUUAUUUCCUGAAAGCAUUACAUUAUAAAGAGAUACACAUUUGCAUACAGUGUCGUAGUUUCCUUACACAAAGCAUAAUCCUAUUGGUUAAUGAUCUCUUUAAUUCUAUUGGUUAACAUACUUUUCUUAUCCUAUUGGUUAAUA
This is a long non-coding RNA of Pseudophryne corroboree (corroboree frog), 1678 nucleotides long. RefSeq lists it as uncharacterized. The transcript has 4 exons. The record is from RefSeq and is a predicted model, not a curated record. NCBI's taxonomy places the organism in Eukaryota, Metazoa, Chordata, Amphibia, Anura, Myobatrachidae.